This 488-nucleotide ribosomal RNA is filed under the name Liposcelis bostrychophila. Its description in RNAcentral is "partial 16S ribosomal RNA". The record is from RNAcentral. Lineage: Eukaryota; Metazoa; Arthropoda; Insecta; Psocodea; Liposcelididae.
AACAUGUCCUUUAAUAAUUUAUAUAAGGUAAAACCUGCUCCUUGAAAAUAUAACUCUUUAAACAGCCGCAGUAAAUUGUGCUAAGGUAGCAUAAUCAUUUGUCCUUUAAUUGAGGUCUAGAAUGAAAGGUUAAUUUGACUAAUAACCUAUAAAAUUAAAAAUAAUAAAAUUUCAAUUUUAAGUAAAAAUGCUUAAAUGUUAUAAAGGGACGAGAAGACCCUAAAAUUUUAAAAUUUUAAUUUUAUUAUAAACUAAAAUUUUUAAUUGGGGCAAUUAAAUUACUAAACUUUUUUUACUUACUCAUUAUAGAUGAAACAGAAAGAAAAAUAUUUAACACAAAAAAUAAUUACUUUAGGGAUAACAGCGCAAUAAUGAGUAAGGAGGCCAAUUUUAAACUUAUGAUUGCGACCUCGAUGUUGAAUUAAGCUAAUUUAAAGAGCAGAUACUUUAAAAUUUUAGUCUGUUCGACUAAUUUAGGCUUACGUGAU